UGUAAGCGUAUACCAAAGUUGUUGCAGUUAAAACGCUCGUAGUCGGAAUUUGGCAGUUCCGGAUGUGUGCACGUCGUGUGCGCACUUCGCGGGGAUUGCUUUUGUGGUCUUGCGUAGGAUGAGGCACUUUUAUUAGUGAACGUCCUCACGCAACCACUUUUUACUGUGAGAAAAUCAGAGUGCUCAAAGCAGGCAUUUGCCGUGAAUGUAUUAGCAUGGAAUAAUAGAAUAGGACUUGGUUCUAUUUUGUUGGUUUGUUGGGACUGAGUAAUGAUUAAGAGGGACAGUUGGGGGCAUUUGUAUUUCGGUGCUAGAGGUGAAAUUCUUAGAUUACCGAAAGACAAACUGCUGCGAAAGCAUCUGCCAAGGAUGUUUUCAUUGA
RNAcentral lists this ribosomal RNA (382 nucleotides) under uncultured eukaryote. RNAcentral describes it as "partial 18S ribosomal RNA". It matches the Rfam family "Eukaryotic small subunit ribosomal RNA", at positions 592 to 976 of the family's 1831-position model. The record is from RNAcentral.